ACUAUUUUGGCAGAAAUAAGUGCAUUAGAUUUAGAAUCUAGUAAUAUGAUAAUUAUAUCAUAUAUAGUA
This 69-nucleotide transfer RNA is filed under the name Hestiasula sp. FS-2017. Its description in RNAcentral is "tRNA-Leu". It matches the Rfam family "tRNA". From Rfam's summary of the family: Transfer RNA (tRNA) molecules are approximately 80 nucleotides in length. Their secondary structure includes four short double-helical elements and three loops (D, anti-codon, and T loops). Further hydrogen bonds mediate the characteristic L-shaped molecular structure. tRNAs have two regions of fundamental functional importance: the anti-codon, which is responsible for specific mRNA codon recognition, and the 3' end, to which the tRNAs corresponding amino acid is attached (by aminoacyl-tRNA synthetases). tRNAs cope with the degeneracy of the genetic code in two manners: having more than one tRNA (with a specific anti-codon) for a particular amino acid; and 'wobble' base-pairing, i.e. permitting non-standard base-pairing at the 3rd anti-codon position. The record is from RNAcentral. Lineage: Eukaryota; Metazoa; Arthropoda; Insecta; Mantodea; Hymenopodidae.